AACUAAACUCUAGCCCAACCUACAUACUCCCCUAAACAAAACCACCUCUCCACAAAAACAAAACAUUUUACAUACUUAGUAUAGGCGAUAGAAAAGGAACCCCGGCGCAAUAGAGAAAAGUACCGCAAGGGAAAGAUGAAAUAACAAUGAAACCACUAGCACAAAACAGCAAAGAUAAACCCUUGUACCUCCUGCAUCAUGGUUCAGUGAGAAAAACCAAGCAAAAUGAACUUAAGCUUGCCUCCCCGAAACCCAAGCGAGCUACUCACAAGCAGCUAUAUAUAUGAGCUAACCCGUCUCUGUAGCAAAAGAGUGGGAUGACUUGUUAGUAGAGGUGAAAAGCCUACCGAGCUGGGUGAUAGCUGGUUGCCUGUGAAAUGAAUUUAAGUUCCCCCCUGACCACUCCCCUCACGAAAUCAAUCAUAACAACCACUGUAGUCACUCAGGAGCAACUUAAGGGGGGUACAGCCCCCUUAAAAAAGGACACAACCUCCACAAGCGGAUAAUUACAACCCCACCACCCAUCACAACUGUUGGCCCUAAAGCAGCCACCAACAAAGAGUGCGUCACAGCUCUAACCGUAAAAAUACUAAAACAGCAUGAAUCCCUAAACCCAUAACAGGCCAACCUAUAGCAAUAGGCGCAUUAAUACUGAAAUGAGUAACUAGAAAGAGGGAGGCCCCCCCCCCUUCUCCAAGGCGCAAGCUUACAUCCAUAAUAUUAUUAGACAGAGUAUAUAUCAAAAUUAAAACAAGACUUCAUAUUCUUUUCUUCUACUGUUAACCCCACUCAGGAGCGCCUAAUUAAGGAAAGAUUUAAAUUUGCAAAAGGAACUCGGCAAACUAAGGACUCGACUGUUUACCAAAAACAUAGCCUUCAGCCCACCAAGUAUUGAAGGUGAUGCCUGCCCAGUGACCAAUAUCGUUUAACGGCCGCGGUAUCCUAACCGUGCGAAGGUAGCGCAAUCAAUUGUCCCAUAAAUCGAGACUUGUAUGAACGGCUAAACGAAGUCCUAACUGUCUCUUGCAAAUAAUCAGUGAAAUUGAUCUCCCCGUGCAAAAGCGAGGAUAAACUCAUAAGACGAGAAGACCCUGUGGAACUUUAAAAUCCAUAACCACAGCUAACCAAACCUAUCUGGCCUACCAGGCCCACUACUAACUACUGCUGCUGGCCUAUAUUUUUCGGCUGGGGCGGCCCUGGAGAAAAACAAAUCCUCCAGAAAUAGGAAAUACCCUCCUAACCAAGAGCAACCUCUCAACGUACAAAUAGUACCCAGACCCAGUAUAACUGAUCAAUGAACCAAGCUACCCCAGGGAUAACAGCGCAAUCCCCUCCAAGAGCCCAUAUCGACAAGGGGGUUUACGACCUCGAUGUUGGAUCAGGACAUCCUAAUGGUGCAACCGCUAUUAAGGGUUCGUUUGUUCAACGAUUAAUAGUCCUACGUGAUCUGAGUUCAGACCGGAGUAAUCCAGGUCGGUUUCUAUCUAUGCCAGAUUCUUCCUAGUACGAAAGGACCGGAAAAAUAAGGCCCAUGCCACAAGCACGCCUUCCCCUCAAAUAAAGAAUACAACCAAGCUAUCAAGUGGGCUGACAAUACCAAUCCAAGACAAGGAUGCUAGU
This 1620-nucleotide ribosomal RNA is filed under the name Prodotiscus insignis. RNAcentral's name for it is "16S ribosomal RNA". It matches the Rfam family "Bacterial large subunit ribosomal RNA". The record is from RNAcentral. Lineage: Eukaryota; Metazoa; Chordata; Aves; Piciformes; Indicatoridae.